AAACAUUACAGGUUAUAUCUUUUAGAAGCAUGUAACUAGAGCUUUUUAUUAACUCAAGUGGGAGUAAGACCUGGCACUGAAUUGGUCUGGUAACUUCUUUCUUGCAGCAGACAUUUAUUGAGCUGCUACUAUAUGCCACUGACUAGGGCUGUAGGAGAGGCAAAGAUAAAUAUGGGAUCAUACCUACAGGGAGCUUGCUUGUAAAAUAGUUGGGGACAAAUGCAACUUUUGCAACCUACCUUUGAAGACCCCAUCAGCUUAAGGUUCCACUCUUGGAGUAAAUGGAGAAAUUUAUAACUGCGCGAUAACACCGCCCUGACCUUCUCUACUCAGCGUGAGAAUUAAUUACCUGAGGCCAGUCCUAUGGAACAUUGUGAAGGCACGAUUCAAAGACGCCAGCCAACCAUCUGGCACUUGAAAGAGGCUAAGUAUAUGCAACUCCCCUCUUAUCCUCUCUCUUUCAUCACCCAGUGUGUUGAACUGAAUGGCAAUUUCUGUGUUUUCUCUCCCCUGUUUAUUACGAACAUCUCCAGGAAAGCCAGUUCCAUGGACUCUCCCCAUCAUGGCAUCGGCGGUGAGGAAGAACACUCCUAAAAGAGUGGGGGCCUGUACUGGCAGCCUAGGGCUUAUCUGCAGGAUGGAAAAGCUUCCAGGACAUAAGCCCAUCACAGGGCUUACCCAGCUGCCUUUGAGAAAUGUUUGGGGUCACAUUGGCUAAAAUUAAGUACUUUGUGGUGAACUGGAUUUGACUGGAACUAAAGGAUCGACUUCCAAGCUCACUCCUGUGGCUGUCGGCAGGAGGCUUCAGUUCCUUACCACAUAGACCUUUCCACAGCAUGAGGGCUCCAGUGUCUGCAGAUUUGACUGGAACUAGAGGAUCAACUUCCAAGCUGGAACUAGAGGAUCAACUUCCAAGCUCACUCCUAUGGGUGCUGGCAGGACGCUUCAGUUCCUCACCACAUAGACCUUUUCACAGCAUGGCUUCCUCUAAAUUCUCCUGGCCAACUCUUCAAUAGCACAGGUCCAAGACCGCCAUGACAUAGGAAUGGAUGAACAGUUGAUAUGGAUCAUGCGUGGGGGAUAGAAGGUGAACGUCGGUGAACAGGCUCGGUCAUCCCCUUCCCUGAGGUGCUUGCUUCCUUCCACUCAUGCCUUUGUGUGAUCUCGCCCCUUAAGUAUGGGCAGGGCUUCUGACUUGCUUCUGACCAACGGAACGUGGCAAAGUCAAUGGGAGGCCACUCUGUGAUGACGCUGGGUUAAAAAAGACCCUGUGUCACUAGCAGAUGUGUUCUGCUCUCUCUUCAUUUGUUGGCUUCGAAGAAGCAAACUGCCAUGGACUCAGCUGAAAGGAGUCAAAUGCCUCCAACAAUCACAUAAGCAGGGAAGUGGACACUUCCCUGGUGGAGCCUCUGGUGAGAACCCAGCCCUGGCUGACGCAUUAAUUGCAGCCUGUGAGACCUUUAGCAGAAGCCCUCCUGAUCCACAGAAACUGUGAGAUAAUAAGCCACUAAGUUUGUUGUAAUUUGUUAUGGGGCAUAGAUAACUAGUACACGCAGUCCUACUGAGAUUUUCUCUCUCCCUCUUUUUUUUUUUCUAUGAAUAAACUCCUUUCUAUUUUUGAGCUUUCCUUUCCAAGUCACACAUUUUAUUUCAAAUAAUUGAUAGUUGUAAUAAUCAGCUUGCUGCUUGAAAAUACCCGCAAGCCUCGGGGUAUAUUGUCUUAGUCUGUUUUCUGUUGCUAUAACUAAAUAACUAAAAGUAGGUAACUUAUAAAGGAAAGAAGGUUAUUUCUUACAGUUCUAGAGACUGAGGCUGGGAAGUCCAAAGCUGAGAGGUCACAUUUGGUGAGGGCUUCUUGCUGGUGAGGACCCUCUGUAGAGUACUGAGGUGGUUCAGGGUAUCACAUAGACAGAGGGGCUCACUGAGAGCCAGACUGGCUUUUAUAACAGACCCACUCUUGUGAUAACUUGCCUACUCCUAUGAUAACUCAUUAAUUCAUUAAUCCAUGAAUGGAUGAAUCCAUACAUGAAGGCAGGAUGGAUUAAUGUGCCUUCAUGUCCCAGUUACCUCUGAAAGGCCCCACCUCUUGAUACUGUUAUAUUGGGUAUUAAGUUUCAACAUGAAUUUGGGAGGGGACAAAUAUUCAAACCAUAGCACACACCAUAGAAACUUCUUGCUCAUGCAUCUAUAGGUCAGCCAGGAUUGGUUAAUCUAGGCCGGCUAUUGCACUUGGCUGCAAGCUCCAUGCUGAAUGGGCAUCUGCUCCAUGAGUGUCUCAUCCUCCUUGGACCAGGGGACAAGUGAGGCAUGUUCUUCUCACAAUGUGCAACAUGCCAAGUCCAACUGUGAGGCAUAUUUCAAUUCUUGCUUGGGUGAGGAGUGUUGACAUACCAUCGCUCAAAGCAAGUCACAUGGCCAAGCUCAAAGUCAAGGGACAGGAAAGUAUACUCCCUAGACUCCAAGGCCAUGGUAUGGAGCAGGUGGACUGGGGGAAGUACUGGGAGCAGUAAGUCAAUCUCCCAGUGAAAAACAUGGGAUUUGGAGUCCAGACGACAUGUGACUUCUAAUCUUUCCUUCCAACAUAGCCUUUAGCAAAUCAACUUCUCUCUUCAGGUCCUAGUUUCCUCAUCAAUAAUAGGGGAGGUUGUACUAAAUUUGCUACAGCCUUGAAAAUAAUUGUUAAAUAUCUUCUAUGAGCAAUGAACUACUUCGUGUGGUAGAAAAAAAUGAGUAUGAAUUUACUGAGACAAAGGAUUUGUGGAAAUAAAAAUUACAUAACUGAGAACAAACUGA
Molecule: long non-coding RNA, 2793 nt
Filed under: Homo sapiens (human)
Lineage: Eukaryota; Metazoa; Chordata; Mammalia; Primates; Hominidae
Description: HSALNT0353338
Source: RNAcentral